RNAcentral lists this non-coding RNA (406 nucleotides) under uncultured fungus. Lineage: Eukaryota; Fungi. RNAcentral also lists the same sequence under 1 other name. The record is from RNAcentral.
AGAGUAAAAUAGUACGUGAAAUUGUUGAAAGGGAAACGUUUGACACCAGUCAUGCGGGCGGAAAAUCAGUCUUUUGUAGUGGGGAAGCGCGUGGGUUCAGACCGCAAGGCUGGCCUAUGUGUUCUCUCUGCUGCGAGUGAUGCACUUUUUCGUCUGCAGGCCAACAUCAGUUUCUUCUGCUGGACAAAACUCUAAGAGAAGGUAGCAGCUUAGGCUGUGUUAUAGCUCUGGAGCGAUACAGUGGAGGAGACUGAGGUUUUCGCAGCGUGUGCUCUCGGGCAAGGCGGAUUGGGUGCUAUGAGAUCGUUCGGCGUACAAUGCAUGCAUUUUGCGCCGUGUCUUUUUCAUACUCGCUCAACUCUGCUCUUCCACGCUUAGGAUGUUGGCAUAAUGGUUUUAACCGACC